RNAcentral lists this ribosomal RNA (432 nucleotides) under uncultured bacterium. Its description in RNAcentral is "partial 16S ribosomal RNA". It matches the Rfam family "Bacterial small subunit ribosomal RNA", at positions 29 to 506 of the family's 1533-position model. The record is from RNAcentral.
AACGAACGCUGGCGGCAUGCCUAACACAUGCAAGUCGAACGAGACCUUCGGGUCUAGUGGCGCACGGGUGCGUAACGCGUGGGAACCUGCCCUUAGGUUCGGAAUAACUCCCCGAAAGGGGUGCUAAUACCGGAUAAUGUCUUCGGACCAAAGAUUUAUCGCCUUUGGAUGGGCCCGCGUUGGAUUAGCUAGUUGGUAGGGUAAAAGCCUACCAAGGCGACGAUCCAUAGCUGGUCUGAGAGGAUGAUCAGCCACACUGGGACUGAGACACGGCCCAGACUCCUACGGGAGGCAGCAGUGGGGAAUAUUGGACAAUGGGCGAAAGCCUGAUCCAGCAAUGCCGCAUGAGUGAUGAAGGCCUUAGGGUUGUAAAGCUCUUUUACCCGGGAUGAUAAUGACAGUACCGGGAGAAUAAGCUCCGGCUAACUCCGU